UACGGAGGGAGCUAGCGUUGUUCGGAAUUACUGGGCGUAAAGCGCACGUAGGCGGCCAUUCAAGUCAGAGGUGAAAGCCCGGGGCUCAACCCCGGAACUGCCUUUGAAACUAGAUGGCUUGAAUCUUGGAGAGGCGAGUGGAAUUCCGAGUGUAGAGGUGAAAUUCGUAGAUAUUCGGAAGAACACCAGUGGCGAAGGCGACUCGCUGGACAAGUAUUGACGCUCAUGCACGAAAGCGUGGGGAGCAAACAGG
Molecule: ribosomal RNA, 253 nt
Filed under: uncultured bacterium
Lineage: Bacteria
Description: partial 16S ribosomal RNA
Rfam family: Bacterial small subunit ribosomal RNA
Source: RNAcentral